UGCCAGAGCAAGCAAGAGGCCAUAUCCAUGAACUCUGGGACUGAUGGAGAAACCCUUCCUUCCUCAGUGAAUAUGAUUAGAAGACAUAGGCUGACUCCCAGUGUCAAACUCAGGGACUCCAUGCACACACACCCCUGCAUGCUCCUGCACAUACACUUGCAAACAUGAGCACACACACUUCAUACAUCCACAUGGAAAUGGGGGUAAGAGAAACGAGAGAGUACCCGGCUCAUGGUUCCUCUAGGAUGGGCCCACCCUGCCCAGGACUUAGAAGCCCUUUCCACACCUAGCAGGACCACACCAUUUCUUCUGCCUGUUCUCUCUCUUGUACGUGUGAACAAACGGGAUGUGUCAUCCACCAUGGGGCUGUGUGCGCACUCCUAGGGCCUCUUGUGCUCUGACCUCCCUGUCCUACAUGGAUGCCCUCGGCUCAAAUAUCACCCGAGAUUCUUCCACGGUCACCGACUCCGUCAUUCUAGUUUGUCUUCAGGAAUCAUCACUCACUUGUUUAAUUAUUGUUUAAUUCUCGCUCCAAUGCUUUGCUUAAUGUAAAUCCCAUGGCUGCCCCUUUGAUUUCUCCUGUCUUCCCUUGUCUGGCACUAACAAGACGUCAAUAAAUUCUUGCCGACUGAAAGAAA
Molecule: long non-coding RNA, 638 nt
Filed under: Rattus norvegicus (Norway rat)
Lineage: Eukaryota; Metazoa; Chordata; Mammalia; Rodentia; Muridae
Description: long non-coding RNA NONRATT028173
Source: RNAcentral